CGAAAGAUAGAUUGAGUAAAUGCCUAAAGCAUACUACGGAUUUGUGAGUUAUAUUAUUUCCGAAAUUAAGAUUAUUGAGGCUUAAGAGUUAUGGAAAUUGAGAUUAUGGGAGCAAAAUUAAGGCUUAUUUGAAAAUUAUUCAUAAGAAACAACGCAGGUAGGGGUGACAUUAAAUUUCUAGACAUGACAAGUGAUAGCUUCACCUCUACAUUAUCCGGGAAACUUGAACAUGAAAGAACAUAGAUAAAUUCUAUAGUUUACCAAUCUCACCCAAUUUUAACAUUCAAACAAAUAAAUUUUGGAAGUCCUAACUGCAUGACUAUCUGCCAAUAUUUCCUGCUAAUCCACCUUAAUAGCCCAGCCCAAGGAGAAAAAUGGCUACUUAGACCAAUAAUGAAAUUCUACAACCAAGUAAGAACAAAUAAUCGGAGAAAACACAUCUCCUUCACACAGGUUUCACAAGGAACAAAAUAAGUAGUUAUUAACACUAUGACAAAACAAAACCAAAUGGAAACAGCACACACACACACCACUGUGUAGACCAAAAAUCCGGUAGAUCUUCAUUCAAUAUCAAGAUACACAAAGAAGGAUCAUUAAAAUUUAAUUAAGAACUAACCCAAAAUCCUAGUAGAGGAGAUCGAACCCAACGCCAAAAUAGAGAAUCGGAACUGAAGCUAAUGAAUGGAAACUCUGACGAAACUCGAACUCGACGGCAAUAGGACCCAACUUCAGCGACUGGAACCACGACCAAACAGCUACUCGCACUUGAACGGUUUGAAAGCUAUUUACGAGGUGUGGCUGUUGCUAUGUGUGUUUUAGUAGAAAUGAAAAAAGGGGGUCAUUGUCCAUUAACUUCUAUCUGGUGAUCGUUUUUUGUGUUCGAUUUUGUGAAGAAGAAGGGGUAACGGUUAUGGGGGGUCUGAUCUUUGGAGUUGUCGCUGGAUGAGGAAGAUGAAUAAGGUGGGGGUCCUGAAUUCCAGCGGCUGUUGUUUUAGUCUUAGGUCUCCUCUUGUGUUAGAAUCUGAUGAAGUUAGGGUGUGUCUAUUGCUAGUUUUAGGGGUGAUGGGUUUUUGAUUGUGAAGAUGGAAGAAGAGAGCAGGGGUCGUUGGUUUAGUUAAGGAGAAGCCAUGGAAAUUUGGCUCUUCUUCUCUGAAGAAGAAGAAGAUCGAUAGGGGGUGUGGGGUCUUGGUGUAAAACAGAGGAUCUCUUGAGUGUAUAGGUCUAGGACUUCUUUUUAUUAGGGAUUCUAGAUUUUAGGUUAUUAGGGAUAGCUUAGUGGGUAUUGGGCUUGGGUUGUUAUGAGCUAGGUCCGAAAAUUAGGCCUAAAAAUGGGUCGUUUGAGCCCAAAUUUUAUUCUUUCUUCACGAACGAAACUAAAAAUACGACCUCAUUUACUAAUUAAUCCUACUUAAGUAAAAUAACUAUUAAAAUAAAACUAACCGUUAAAACAAACCUACUUUUUUGGUAUUUUCAAAUAUCAUAUUAAAAUAAAAAUAAGGUACUAUUUUGUAUAUUUUUUAAGUUUUAUUAAAGGUAUAUAAACUAAAAGCUAAUAAAAAAAGAAGAAAUAUUUUUGUAAUUUUCAUUUUGUGACGAAAUAAAGUAAAAGAGUCAAAAUUAGUUGAAAUAACUAUAUUAGACCUAAACUAAGUAUUUAAAUGCUAAAAUAUGUAAAAUCUUGGAGAGGGUCAACAAUCACAUGUCUACAGCUGCCCCUCUUUGACUAGAAACAUGAAGUAUUUUCUGACAAAGAACGACUCGACAGAUUUUUUGACCCAGCCCUUAUUUAGGGAGACCAAAAACUAAAAGAAAGGAGAAUGUGACUGAGCCCUGGUAUCCGAGUUGCCUACAUAUCCUUGGUUAUAAAAGGAAUCAGGCCACGUGCAGUUUAGAAGUAGAACCGUGAUGGAGUGUACCAAGGUGGAGAGCCGAUUGAGGUGUCAUUCCGUCGAGGUUCCGGUCCGCGGUCCUGUUAUUUUAUGAAAAUCAAAAAAUGAAAAAAGACUAACUAAGCCUAUCAGCUACGAGUUACAAGAUUCCUAUCUAUGAGUUCUCAAGCUUGAUCAUGUUCUUCAGGCAGGAUUCUCCUGAUGCUUCUUGAACUCAAAAAUUGAAUAUUGACUCUGUUCUUCAAGUGGGCUCCCGGUGCCUCCCUGACUUGAAAUUGUAAACUCAAAGUUGACCCUGUUCUUCAAGUGGGAUUCUCCUGACGCUUCUCUAACAUUGAAGUUAAAAACUGAACAUGUUCUUCAGGCAGGCUCCUGAUGCCUCCCUGACAUGAACUUGUAAACUGAAAGUUGACCCUGUUCUUCAGGCGGACUCCUGCUGUCUUUAACUUUAAUCUUGAAAACUAAAAGUUGAUCCUGUUCUUCAGGCGGACUCCUGUUGUCUUUGACUUGAAUCUUGAAAACUAGAAGUUGAUCCUGUUCUUCAGGCGGGAUCCUCCUGAUGCCUCUGACUUGACCUUGAAAACUGAAAGUUGACCCUGUUCUUCAGGCGGGAUUCUUCUGAUGCCUUUCCGACUUAAAAUUGAAAACUGAACAUGUUCUUCUGGCGUGCUCCUGAUGCCUCCCUGACUUGAACUGAAUUCCCUUGUUUCUCCAGGUGGGCACCUGUUAAUAAUUGAACUGAAUUACCUUAUUUCUCCAUGUGGGACGCCUGCUGUCAAUACUUGAACUGAAUUCCCUUGUUUAUCUGGUUGGGGCGCCUGCUAUCAAUACUUGAACUGAAUUCCCUUAUUUCUCUAGGUGGGCGUCU
This 2757-nucleotide long non-coding RNA is filed under the name Nicotiana tabacum (common tobacco). RNAcentral's name for it is "long non-coding RNA (NTAB_LNC006810)". The record is from RNAcentral. Lineage: Eukaryota; Viridiplantae; Streptophyta; Magnoliopsida; Solanales; Solanaceae.